Molecule: non-coding RNA, 589 nt
Organism: Pelobates cultripes (western spadefoot toad)
Lineage: Eukaryota; Metazoa; Chordata; Amphibia; Anura; Pelobatidae
Source: the annotation of a GenBank genome assembly
GUUUAGAAUUGAUUAUAUUCCAUUAGCAUUUAGACAGUCUGUCCAACCCCCGUUCUCCUUAUCACUUGGUUUGUAUAUACUAUGCAUUCCUUUAGGUCUGGGAAAGUGGUUAGUUUUACAGAUAGAAAUCUUGUGUCUUUUUGUUAACUUGGAAAUAACAAAAUGGAGUCUGCUCUGUUUAGAGUGACUCAGCAUAUACACUUUUAAUUUCUAUCAUAGCACAAGAUGUCUGCCGAUAUAAAUACCCUGACAGUAAAUUCAGUCAAGCUGCAGUAAGGGAAGUGUUGUGACUGAGGAUAAUGGGGAUCUCUGUGUGUUAGAGGGGCUGUGAGGGAGGGUAAUGGGGGUCUCUGGGUGGGUUUAGGAUAUGAGGGAGGAUAAUGGGGGUCUCUGGGUGGGUUUAGGAUAUGAGGGAGGGUAAUGGAUGGGGCUCUGGGUGGGUUUAGGAUAUGAGGGAGGAUAAUGGGGGUCCCUGGGUUGGUUUAGGAUAUAAGGGAGGAUAAUGAGAGGCUCUGGGUGGGUUUAGGAUAUGAGGGAGGAUAAUGGGGGGCUCUGGGUGGGUUUAGGAUAUGAGGGAGGGUAAUGGGUG